ACGCUGGCGGCGUGCUACACAUGCAAGUCGUACGAGAAAAUCCGCUUCGGCGGGUGAGUAGAGUGGCGCACGGGUGAGUAACGCGUGGAUAAUCUGCCUUCAAGUUGGGAAUAACUCAUCGAAAGGUGGGCUAAUACCCGAUAAUGCUAUGGUGCUUUAGCAUCAUAGCCAAAGAGAGCCUCUACAUGUAAGCCCUCGCUUAGAGAUGAGUCCGCGUACCAUUAGCUAGUUGGUAGGGUAAUGGCCUACCAAGGCGACGAUGGUUAGCUGGUCUGAGAGGAUGAUCAGCCACACUGGGACUGAAACACGGCCCAGACUCCUACGGGAGGCAGCAGUGGGGAAUAUUGCGCAAUGGGGGAAACCCUGACGCAGCGACGCCGUGUGAGGGAAGAAGGCCUUCGGGUCGUAAACCUCUGUCGGGAGGGAAGAACCGCCAGGUUCCGAACAGGAACCUGGCCUGACGGUACCUCCGAAGGAAGCGCCGGCUAACUCCGUGCCAGCAGCCGCGGUAAUACGGAGGGCGCGAGCGUUAAUCGGAAUCACUGGGCGUAAAGCGCACGUAGGCGGCCUUAUAAGUCGGGCGUGAAAGCCCUCGGCCCAACCGAGGAAUUGCGUUCGAUACUGUGAGGCUUGAGUCCUGGAGAGGGUGGCGGAAUUCCGGGUGUAGGAGUGAAAUCCGUAGAUAUCCGGAGGAACACCGGUGGCCGAAGCGGCCACCUGGACAGGUACUGACGCUGAGGUGCGAAAGCGUGGGGAGCAA
This 760-nucleotide ribosomal RNA is filed under the name uncultured bacterium. RNAcentral describes it as "bacterial SSU rRNA". It matches the Rfam family "Bacterial small subunit ribosomal RNA", at positions 33 to 771 of the family's 1533-position model. The record is from RNAcentral.